RNAcentral lists this ribosomal RNA (251 nucleotides) under uncultured bacterium. RNAcentral describes it as "partial 16S ribosomal RNA". It matches the Rfam family "Bacterial small subunit ribosomal RNA", at positions 526 to 776 of the family's 1533-position model. The record is from RNAcentral.
CAGAGGGGGCUAGCGUUGUUCGGAAUUACUGGGCGUAAAGGGCGCGUAGGCGGCCCUCUAAGUCGAACGUGAAAUCCCCGGGCUCAACCCGGGAACUGCGUCCGAGACUGGCAGGCUCGAAUCCGGGAGAGGGAUGUGGAAUUCCAGGUGUAGCGGUGAAAUGCGUAGAUAUCUGGAGGAACACCGGUGGCGAAGGCGGCAUCCUGGACCGGUAUUGACGCUGAGGCGCGAAAGCCAGGGGAGCAAACGGG